Molecule: ribosomal RNA, 497 nt
Filed under: uncultured bacterium
Lineage: Bacteria
Description: partial 16S ribosomal RNA
Rfam family: Bacterial small subunit ribosomal RNA
Source: RNAcentral
GAUGAACGCUGGCGGCGUGCCUAAUACAUGCAAGUCGAGCGAACAGACGAGGAGCUUGCUCCUCUGACGUUAGCGGCGGACGGGUGAGUAACACGUGGAUAACCUACCUAUAAGACUGGGAUAACUUCGGGAAACCGGAGCUAAUACCGGAUAAUAUAUUGAACCGCAUGGUUCAAUAGUGAAGGACGGUUUUGCUGUCACUUAUAGAUGGAUCCGCGCCGCAUUAGCUAGUUGGUAAGGUAACGGCUUACCAAGGCAACGAUGCGUAGCCGACCUGAGAGGGUGAUCGGCCACACUGGAACUGAGACACGGUCCAGACUCCUACGGGAGGCAGCAGUAGGGAAUCUUCUGCAAUGGGCGAAAGCCUGACGGAGCAACGCCGCGUGAGUGAUGAAGGUCUUCGGAUCGUAAAACUCUGUUAUUAGGGAAGAACAAAUGUGUAAGUAACUAUGCACGUCUUGACGGUACCUAAUCAGAAAGCCACGGCUAACUACGUG